UUUCUAAAGAUCCUAUAAAAACAAUAGUUUGCGACCUCGAUGUUGAAUUAAUUACCUAAUUAGAGCAAAAACCAAUUAAGGAAGUCUGUUCGACUUUUAAACAAUUACAUGAUUUGAGUUCAGACCGGUAUAAGCCAGGUCGGUUUCUAUCUUCUACUACUAACUUCUUACAGUACGAAAGGACCCAAGAAAAUAA
Molecule: ribosomal RNA, 196 nt
Filed under: Selenops insularis
Lineage: Eukaryota; Metazoa; Arthropoda; Arachnida; Araneae; Selenopidae
Description: partial 16S ribosomal RNA
Rfam family: Archaeal large subunit ribosomal RNA (bases 1-155)
Source: RNAcentral